AGAAGGAGGAAACGCUGGAGAUUCUGAAACGCGUGGCUAAGGAUUUACAAGCGGAGGGAGAGAAGAAAGUAAUGGCAGCUAGUGAGGUUAGGCUGUUAGCUAAGGAUGACGCCGAGGCGAGAGUGACGCUCGCCAUGCUCGGUGCGAUCCCUCCGCUCGUUAGUAUGAUCGACGAUUCGCAAAAGAACGAAGAUGCUCUGAUUGCUUAUCUCUAUGCUCUUCUCAACCUCGCAAUCGGCAAUGAUGCGUAAGUCUCCAACUGCAUGUUUAAUUAAAACAAUUUGUAACGCUCCGACUGUCCACUGCUAACUAACGAGGUUCCUUUUGAUGCCUUAUUUAUUUUUGCAAGCCUAAUGGACCGAAUAAAAAAAAUGAUAAUUUAAUUUUUUUUUUUCAGGAACAAAGAAGCCAUUGUUAGAGGAGGAGCAGUUCACAAAAUGCUUAAGCUUAUUGAAUCGUCAAAGCCUCCUCCUAACCAAGCAAUCUCCGAGGCUAUCGUGGCGAACUUUCUUGGUUUAAGCGCGUUAGAUUCGAACAAACCGAUCAUCGGUUCCUCUGGAGCGAUCAUCUUCCUAGUGAGAGCCCUGAAAACUAGUAGCUCGCAAGCCAGAGGCUAUGUCGGUUAUGAAGAAGGUGGACAGUUGACUGAAGCUGUUCGUAGAAGACCCUACUCAGUGGUUUUGUUCGAUGAGAUCGAGAAAGCCCAUCCUGAUGUCUUCAACAUCCUGCUGCAGCUUCUCGACGAUGGAAGGAUAACUGAUUCUCAAGGGAGGAGAGUGAGUUUCACAAACUGUGUUGUGAUUAUGACCUCUAAUAUAGGAUCCCACCACAUACUCGAGACUCUCGGAAACAGUGAAGACGGCAAAGAAGCAGUGUAUGAGUUGAUGAAGCGGCAGGUUGUGGACUUGGCAAGACAAACUUUCAGGCCAGAGUUCAUGAACAGAAUCGAUGAGUACAUUGUCUUCCAGCCGCUAGAUUCAAAAGAAAUCUCCAAAAUCGUUGAGUUGCAGGUAAUUUAUAAUUAUUAACUUGUUUACACCCCAAUUUGGUUUGGUAUUUGAUGUAUUGUAACCAUGUGGUGUAGCUGGAACGAGUGAAGAACAGGAUGGAACAAAAGAAAAUAAAGCUUCAGUACACAAAAGAAGCAGUGGAUCUUCUUUCUCAGCUUGGGUUUGAUCCCAACUAUGGGGCAAGGCCUGUUAAGAGAGUGAUCCAACAGAUGGUAGAGAAUGAGAUCGCCGUUGAAGUUUUGAAAGGGGAUUUUGCAGAGGAAGACACUAUCCUCCUCGAUGUUGACCAGACAAGCAACAAAUUGGUCAUCAAGAAGCUCGAGAACAAUGCUCCUAUCGAAGAAAUGGCAGCUUGAUUAUACUAUAAACAAGCGUUUUUGUAACUCUUUGUUCUAUGUUCUGUAGAUUCAGCUCUGUUUUCUGACACGUGCGGAUGGAAGAUGUUUAAAAGUUUUAUCUCCUGCCGACAGAAGCAACACACCUACUUCUUUGUCCAUAAGCAUUUUGAUUUAAAACUAGGAGCUCAUGGAGAGUUCGUUGGCGAGAACUCCGAAGAGCUUUUCAUUACAAAAGAAAUUGAUAUUCUAACAGAAACUGUUUUUACAACUAAGUAUUGAAAUAAUUUUUAAUCUAUAAUUGACAAGUGUUUGUUGGGUUUUCAUAACUUUCUCCUAAAACCGAUUUUCACUUUAUUUUUAAUUUAGUCUUGAGGACAUUUUCUUAUAUAUUUUCAAAAGAAAUGUUCUUACUAAUCUAACUAGGUUAAGACUCGCGUCUUUCGCGGAAUGAACAUUAUAUAUAUAAAUUAUUUUAUAUGUUAUAUGUUUAUAACAUAUUAUGAAAUAAUAAAUAUAUAUCUAUACUAUUAAAAGGGAAUCACUCCUAAAAAAUCUACUUAAACAAAGUUGUUGGACAAUUUCAUUAGAUUUAACUAUUAAUUUGGUCUUAACUUAUAUUUCUCUAACUAUAUAAAUACUUUACAUAAUUUAAAUGAAUUCAUUUAUUAUUUUCUCAUAAUCUAUUAUCUAACAAUAAAUCCAUAUGAAUAUAUGAUAGAUUAUUCAAAUGUGAUCAUUACCACAUAUAAUUCUAUUAAUAGUAUAAAUUUUUAAUGGUUUAGUUAUGUUUAAUAGGUAUAUAAUUUGUAUUUUAAAAUUUUAAGUACUCAUUUGGUCCUUACUUUGGUUUCUAUUUUUUCUAUGCUCGAUUAUUUAUGAAAUUCAGCUUAAUUUUGAGUUUUUUUCUCAGUUUGGUACGGUCCAGUGCACUCGGGUAAAUGUACUCAAACCUAUACAUUAUUUCUUAUAUAAGAAGAAUUUAUUUAAUUUCAAAAAUAAACAGCGCGAAUCAAAAUCUAGUUUAUUUAUUAUUGAUUGAUUAUAAAUGAAAGUUCAUAAUUCUUCACAUGCUAUCUGAUUUUAGUAAUUCUAAAUCAAUAUAUGGCCUAAAAUCAUGUUAGAAUAUCUAUUUUUAGUUAAAAAAAAACAAUUCAAUAGUAAUACAUAUAUUAAACCUAUAUGAAUGUAAUCGUUUUUAAUAUGCGCAAGUGGAGUGAUGUAUCAAUCCUAAAAAAACUAGAUAUAUUAUUUUUUAAUUAUUUGUAUCAUGUCAUAACAAAAAUUUUAAAUCAUAGAUCACAAAAUUUGAAUGUAAAACUUUUAACAGUUUCAGUAAUUCAUACUCGUUUUUAAAAAUUCAAAAUAUAAUAUAAAUAUAUUUUUUUAAAAUUUUUAUUAUAUGGUUACUAUGAUUGUUUAAUUUAUUUUAAUAGUUUAAAAUUAAACAAAUAUAAUUAUAAUACACACUUAUUUUUAUCAAAUUUUUAUUAUUCAAAAUCAUUAAUUGUCAUAUAUACUUUAGCCACAUUAGGCAAUUCUGUAAUCUUAUUUAAGGAAAUAAUAAAGCACAUUAAUAAUGUAUUUAUUGUGGUUUAAUAAAAAAAUUAUUAUAUAUUUAGGUGGACCAACCUAUUUUUCUAUGGAUUCUAAAAAUCAUUUUAGUAAUGACACGUGGAUACAAAAAAAUGUUGCAUUGCUUCUCAAAUAAUAUAUAGUGGAUUUUUAUGAGAUGAACUUGAGAAAUCUAACAAAAUCAAAUCAAAAUCAAAUCGGAGAAACGAUUUAAUAAAUUAAAUUAAACACAUUCUCAUAUCGCUAGAAUUGAAUCGGAUCCCUUCUGUUUAAUAGCCUCCGACAUUGAAAUCUUUGUUUAUUUUUUAUAGUUCUCUUAGUAAUUCUAUUGUCUGGUCAUUAAUUGAGCGAAUAACACUCUCAUUAAUGAUAGUUUAGCUUACUAACUAGUUAGUGACUUUGAAAUGUCAGUCGUGUCUUUUAAUGGGGAAACAAUCUGAUACAUCUGGCUUAGCCUCUUAAACAAUUGAAUUUUCAACUUUCAAUUUAGUCUACCAUCUUUUUAUCUGGUUCAACAACUGAUUCAUAUGUUCUAAACUCUAAAGGUUAAAGUUACUUUACGCGUUAAAAAAUGUCAAUAAACUAAAAAGAAAUAGACCAUGUAACUAAGUUUCCAAGCCCUAGGCAUGAGUGGACCUACUUGCAAUCAAAGGGGUUCAAUUGACACCCCAUAAAUUUUUUUUUCUCCUCGUAUUUUUAGAUUUACGGUACUAAAUUUGAACCAGUUCGUUCGCCUAUGUUUUUGACAACGACCUUUAUGUUUGACACCUGUUAAAUAAUUCAUCUAGGUCCGCCAGGAUGUAUGUAUGCGUGCACCCUUUUUCCUCCGCCAUUGUAUGCGAAGUUGAUGAAUAUCUGACAUGAGAAUAAGCACGUAAGUGGACUUGGAUUUUAUGUGAUGAUGAUGAUAAUGACGAUGAUGAUGGAACUCGACUCUUGGGUAUAAAAGGUGCAGUAAAGAGCUUGGCCCCAUCACAGUGAGAGUUUGAAGUUCUUUUGUGAUCCAUCAAGUGUUUGCUGGAAAAAGGUGUGUAGAGAAGUGAUGUUUGAGACUGACUUUAGUCAACUAAUUUGUGUUUUGGACGACCAAAAAAGACUGGUCAGCGUUUUCACCCUUGUUGGUUCAGUUCAGUGUUUUUUCUUUCUACAGUCUUUGCUUCUUUUGCCGUUAACUUUGUUACUCCUUGUAAUAAUAUUUUUUCAUGCUGAUCUCGUAGCAGGGCGCAAGUAGAGCGGUCGAACAGGGCCUCGAAAUAUAAAGAUAAAAAAUUUAAGGGCUUUUUCGUAAGAAAUAAUUUAUUUUGAAAAGUAUUCAUUGGGGAAAUUCUUAUAUUCUUCCUCGGACGUUUUAAAUGUUAAAUUUGUCGCAACCGUUUUGAAAUUUUAAAAUUUUAGAUAUAAUGCUAAAUUUAGAACUUAUAAUUAAAAAAAAUCAAACAAAAUUAUUAAAUUUUAAAAUUACGUUAUAAAAUGUACAAUUAAUAUAUUUUUUGAACAGGGCCUAAAAUUAAUUAGAGACGGCCCUGUCUCGUAGCACAAGAGCAUGUGACAGGUUUUUUUUUCCUUCUCAUGUGCUGUGUAAUUGAGUUUGGCAUUUUUUGGAGGUAGCCCUAAAUUUUAAUUAUAUGAAAUUUACGUAACAAACAAACAAAACAAAAAAUGCUCACACGAGCUUAGGACAAGUAAUUAAUAAAAAAAAAAAAAAUCUAUAAAGCUUAUUUACUUUCUGAAUUCUCCGGCUGAAGCGUCGGCUUGUGUUGCUGGUCAUCUCUCUUUCUGAGAGAAACUAGUUCGUCGCCAAGCCGAGAAGGAACUGGUUCAAGCUGGCUCCGAGUUCCCGUCUUCUUCUACGCGGGUUGUUGCCCCGGGUCAUGGGACCGAGAUCUUGGCUUCUCUUUCGCAAGCUCUACCAGCCGGAUCCUCCACGACUCUGAUCCUUGUCGAGGACAAGGAGAGGGCUGCUGACUCUAUGCCUCCACCUCCGGCCAGGAAAGAAAUCGUUCUGGUGUUGCGUGCUCCCAGUGUUGUUCCGGUUGCUCAGCCUACGAGCCGGAAGAGGAAGCUCGCCAAGAGUGGUGAUGGGGAAUCUUUGCAGCAAGGUGGGUCGAGCCUAGUGUCGGGACUUCACGGAAAGGUUUGCCUCUCACAUGAAUUCUCGAUCGUUUCAUGUACAUUCUUUCUCGGACUUAGUCUUAAAAAAUGUUUUGUUCGCAGUUCAUGUUGUUGAUCGAUGGGAUGAUCAGCGAGUGCGGUUCUGAGACUAGUCGUCUUGCCGGGGGGUUGGUGGAGCUUCAGGGUAGAUGGUCUGAAACCGAACCCAUGCUGACGGCUGUCAAGGAUUCUCAUUCCGUGAAAGUGUCGAAGCUCGAGGUCGCGAUAGGAGAGCUCGAGAGAGAUUUUCGCUUCCAAAUAAAAACAGAACAAUUCUUUUGUAUCUCACUCUCUCUCUCUCCUCCAUCAAGCUGCAUACAGCUGAUCGGAGAAAAUGGCCAAGUGUCACCGGAACAAUGUAGAUCCUCUCAUCCUUCACCGCAUUCCCUCCGCUUCUUCCUCCUCCACCUCCUUGAACUCCUUCUCCAGAUCGACAUUCCGCAGAUUGAUCCUGGACGCCAUCAGCUGCGGCGGCAGCUCACGUCAUCAGCGAGAACUCCAACAAGACGAAGAAGAUAAAACGACGAUCGGAGGGGAUGAGUUAGCGACGAAAUCAGAGAAGCUAUGCGAUCUGCUAAACUUAACGAAGAUGGAGACGAAGAAGAUGAAGAAGGAGGAAACGCUGGAGAUUCUGAAACGCGUGGCUAAGGAUUUACAAGCGGAGGGAGAGAAGAAAGUAAUGGCAGCUAGUGAGGUUAGGCUGUUAGCUAAGGAUGACGCCGAGGCGAGAGUGACGCUCGCCAUGCUCGGUGCGAUCCCUCCGCUCGUUAGUAUGAUCGACGAUUCGCAAAAGAACGAAGAUGCUCUGAUUGCUUAUCUCUAUGCUCUUCUCAACCUCGCAAUCGGCAAUGAUGCGUAAGUCUCCAACUGCAUGUUUAAUUAAAACAAUUUGUAACGCUCCGACUGUCCACUGCUAACUAACGAGGUUCCUUUUGAUGCCUUAUUUAUUUUUGCAAGCC
RNAcentral lists this long non-coding RNA (6030 nucleotides) under Brassica napus (rape). RNAcentral's name for it is "long non-coding RNA (BNAP_LNC008333)". The record is from RNAcentral. Lineage: Eukaryota; Viridiplantae; Streptophyta; Magnoliopsida; Brassicales; Brassicaceae.